AGAGUUUGAUCCUGGCUCAGAACGAACGCUGGCGGCAGGCUUAACACAUGCAAAUCGAAGGUGAAGCUGGGCUUCGGCCCAGUGGAAACUGGCGCACGGGUGAGUAACGCGUGGGAAUCUACCUAGUGGUUCAGAAUAACCGCGGGAAACUGCGGCUAAUACUGAAUACGCCCUCCGGGGGAAAGAUUUAUCGCCAUUAGAUGAGCCCGCGUCGGAUUAGCUUGUUGGUGAGGUAACGGCUCACCAAGGCGACGAUCCGUAGCUGGUCUGAGAGGAUGAUCAGCCACACUGGGACUGAGACACGGCCCAGACUCCUACGGGAGGCAGCAGUGGGGAAUAUUGGACAAUGGGCGCAAGCCUGAUCCAGCCAUGCCGCGUGAGUGAUAAAGGCCUUAGGGUUGUAAAGCUCUUUCACCGGGGAAGAUAAUGACGGUACCCGGAGAAGAAGCCCCGGCUAACUCCGUGCCAGCAGCCGCGGUAAUACGGAGGGGGCUAGCGUUGUUCGGAUUUACUGGGCGUAAAGCGCGCGUAGGCGGCUUGCCAAGUUGGGGGUGAAAUCCCAGGGCUCAACCCUGGAACUGCCCUCAAAACUGGCUCGCUUGAGACCGGGAGAGGUGAGUGGAAUUCCCAGUGUAGAGGUGAAAUUCGUAGAUAUUGGGAAGAACACCGGUGGCGAA
This 677-nucleotide ribosomal RNA is filed under the name uncultured bacterium. RNAcentral's name for it is "bacterial SSU rRNA". It matches the Rfam family "Bacterial small subunit ribosomal RNA", at positions 8 to 719 of the family's 1533-position model. The record is from RNAcentral.